Molecule: ribosomal RNA, 237 nt
Filed under: uncultured Staphylococcus sp.
Lineage: Bacteria; Bacillati; Bacillota; Bacilli; Caryophanales; Staphylococcaceae
Description: partial 16S ribosomal RNA
Rfam family: Bacterial small subunit ribosomal RNA
Source: RNAcentral
CGGGCGAGUAACACGUGGAUAACCUACCUAUAAGACUGGGAUAACUUCGGGAAACCGGAGCUAAUACCGGAUAAUAUUUUGAACCGCAUGGUUCAAAAGUAAAAGACGGUCUUGCUGUCACUUAUAGAUGGAUCCGCGCUGCAUUAGCUAGUUGGUAAGGUAACGGCUUACCAAGGCAACGAUGCAUAGCCGACCUGAGAGGGUGAUCGGCAACACUGGAACUGAGACACGGUCCAG